CCCUGGAGCUGGCCCUGUGAAUGACGGGGGAUCAAAACCAGGUCCUGUAGCUACUGGGGGGAGCUGAAGUGGAACACCAGUGAUUCAUAGGGUUUUCGGUCAGGCUUCUGAGCCCAAGCCUGCAUGUAUACAUCCAGAUGGCCUGAGACAACUGAAAAGUACAAAAGAAGUGAAAGAGCCAGCUCCUUUCUUAACUGAUGGACAAACCUUACAACAUUCCAUUAUGAUUUGCUCCUGCCCUGUCCCAAAUGAUUGAUCGAUGGACCUCGUGACAUUCUUCUUCUGGAAAAUGAGUCUUAUGAUCUCCCCACCAAGAACCUUGCGACGCCAACCCCUGCCCGCAAGAGAAAAACCCCCUUUAACUGUAACUUUCCACUGCUUAUCCCAGUCCCAUAAAAGUGCCGCAUCUCUAACUCCCUUCACUGACUCCUUUCUCAGACUCAGCCCACUUGCACCCAAAUGAAUAAACAGCUUUGUUGCUCACACA
This 487-nucleotide long non-coding RNA is filed under the name Homo sapiens (human). Its description in RNAcentral is "HSALNT0076719". The record is from RNAcentral. Lineage: Eukaryota; Metazoa; Chordata; Mammalia; Primates; Hominidae.